CAGUAGCCGCGGUAAUACAGAGGGUGCAAGCGUUAAUCGGAAUUACUGGGCGUAAAGCGCGCGUAGGUGGUUUGUUAAGUUGGAUGUGAAAGCCCCGGGCUCAACCUGGGAACUGAAUCCAAAACUGGCAAGCUAGAGUACGGUAGAGGGUGGUGGAAUUUCCUGUGUAGCGGUGAAAUGCGUAGAUAUAGGAAGGAACACCAGUGGCGAAGGCGACCACCUGGACUGAUACUGACACUGAGGUGCGAAAGCGUGGGGAGCAAACAGGAUUAGAGACCCCGGUAGUCCCUGUCUCUUAUAC
Molecule: ribosomal RNA, 301 nt
Filed under: uncultured bacterium
Lineage: Bacteria
Description: partial 16S ribosomal RNA
Rfam family: Bacterial small subunit ribosomal RNA
Source: RNAcentral